RNAcentral lists this long non-coding RNA (460 nucleotides) under Monodelphis domestica (gray short-tailed opossum). RNAcentral's name for it is "lncRNA (ENSMODG00000041320.1)". Lineage: Eukaryota; Metazoa; Chordata; Mammalia; Didelphimorphia; Didelphidae. The record is from RNAcentral.
CCAGGAGUGGAAUCCUGAGGAGAGAAGACUCUGGUGAGAUCAGUGAGGGUCUCUCCAUCUUGAGAUCUCGAGGAGAGAAGGUGGAUAAAGUCUUUCUCCUGAGGGUUACCCAUUUUUCUUGCUGGUGACUGGAAAUCUUUCCCCUCAACACUUCCCAAUUGAAGGGACUUCUGAAGAGAAACCUGAGCAGAUUUUACCUCAGCUCCUGUUGCCCAGGGAUGCACCAAUAUCUUCUUGGAGUGAGAAACAGUUUUGUUUUUUGUUUUUUCUUUUCUUUUUAUCUCUAACACUCAGCACAAUGCCUGGCAAAAAAAGAAGAUGCUCAAUAAAUACAUGUUGACUGACUGAUGACACAAUAAAAUCAACCUCAUGCACCACCUCUAAGGAGAAACUAUUGCUGUCAGCAAGAAACCAUUUUGACAAUAAUAAAAUGAAGGCAAGGAAACUGGUUGGUGCCUGG